GUCUACGGCCAUACCACCCUGAACGCGCCUGAUCUCGUCUGAUCUCGGAAGCUAAGCAGGGUCGGGCCUGGUUAGUACUUGGAUGGGAGACAUAAUCACUUACUAGUUUCGGGAGGUU
Molecule: ribosomal RNA, 118 nt
Filed under: Neogale vison (American mink)
Lineage: Eukaryota; Metazoa; Chordata; Mammalia; Carnivora; Mustelidae
Source: RNAcentral